Molecule: ribosomal RNA, 568 nt
Filed under: uncultured rumen bacterium
Lineage: Bacteria
Description: bacterial SSU rRNA
Rfam family: Bacterial small subunit ribosomal RNA
Source: RNAcentral
GCUUAACACAUGCAAGUCGAGGGGCAGCAUGAGGUUUGCUUGCAAACCUUGAUGGCGACCGGCGCACGGGUGAGUAACGCGUAUCCAACCUGGCCCUUAGUAGGGCAUAGCCCGGCGAAAGUCGGAUUAAUACCCUAUGUUAUCCGAAGAGGACAUCUGAAUUGGAUUAAAGAUUUAUCGCUAAGGGAUGGGGAUGCGUCUGAUUAGGUAGUCGGCGGGGUAACGGCCCACCGAGCCAUCGAUCAGUAGGGGUUCUGAGAGGAAGGUCCCCCACAUUGGAACUGAGACACGGUCCAAACUCCUACGGGAGGCAGCAGUGAGGAAUAUUGGUCAAUGGGCGCGAGCCUGAACCAGCCAAGUANCGUGCGGGAUGACGGCCCUAUGGGUUGUAAACUGCUUUUAUGCGGGGAUAAAGUGCACCACGUGUGGUGUUUUGCAGGUACCGCAUGAAUAAGGACCGGCUAAUUCCGUGCCAGCAGCCGCGGUAAUACGGAAGGUCCGGGCGUUAUCCGGAUUUAUUGGGUUUAAAGGGAGCGCAGGCUGAUUGUUAANCGUGACGUGAAAUGUA